This 1076-nucleotide long non-coding RNA is filed under the name Homo sapiens (human). RNAcentral's name for it is "HSALNT0391074". Lineage: Eukaryota; Metazoa; Chordata; Mammalia; Primates; Hominidae. The record is from RNAcentral.
CUUUAAGAGCAGACUCCCUUAGUACAGAUUUCUCAGAUUAUAAAUAAGAUUCCUCCAAAUUAAUUUCCAAAACAGAGCUAUUUUAUAAACACCAAGGUCUAUCAGUGUAAGACCUGUUCUUUCCUGCUUGGUAUGAGAUCAUUUGUGCAUAAAAUACUUGGCCAAAGUGUUUUAUAGGUUUGUUGGGAAAAUCAAAUAAAUAACAUGUAAACGUAUCUUACAAAUUAUGAAGCCACAUAUAAACGUAAAUUUGCUCUUUUUUAAUGAUAAGCAAUUCAGAUAUUUGGGCAAGUGGCAUGACCAUGGAUUAUUUCACUGGUUUUCUUCCUCGUAGCCCUUGCUCUCCAGCUAUUGACAUCAGUGUGGAGUCAGUAAUUCUUUUCUUAGAAGCUGAAGUUAUCAUUUACAGUAAAUUUGGUUUUAGUUCUUUGUCAUCCUUAUUUACCUGAAGCUCCUUCAGGAAAAUUACUCUGAGCUCAGAAUUAGCUUAGAUAACUUAUAAAUAGGUGUAUAACAGGGAUCAGAAAGCCACUCUAGGCCUGACAUGCUUGACAGGCUCUGACGCAGGAGGUGGGAGUUCCUGGCCCUUCUAAACACAGAUGUGACUAUUAGGAGCAAAAGGUACCAAGGGCCCUAUUUCCCACUGGCGAGGCUUCUUAUUCAGCCCUCACUCUUCUUUCUGUUCACGUUUCCUCUUCAGUUCUCAGUGCCACAUCAUUUGGCAUCAGAGAUGAAAAGGAUCUAGGGCUGGUUGUUCUCAGAACCAAGAAGCUUUCAAAACCAGCUUGUGGUAGCCCUUCUUGAGAGCAGCUCAGUCUUCUCAUUGGUUCACUCUGACCAAUCCCAGGAUGCAUAGGGACCCAGGCAAAGCAGGCCCUAGUAAGUCCCUUUUUUUUUUUUUGAAAGACAGAGGCUGGGCGCCAUGGCUCAUGCCUGUAAUCCCAGCACUUUGGGAGGCCAAGAUGGACGGAUCACCUAAGGUCAGGAGUUCGAGACCAGCCUGGCCAACAUGGCCAAACCUGGUCUCUACUAAAGAUACAAAAAUUAGCCGGGGUGGCACGGUGCAGGGCGGUAUG